RNAcentral lists this ribosomal RNA (1222 nucleotides) under Staphylococcus aureus. Its description in RNAcentral is "partial 23S ribosomal RNA". It matches the Rfam family "Bacterial large subunit ribosomal RNA", at positions 1601 to 2824 of the family's 2925-position model. Lineage: Bacteria; Bacillati; Bacillota; Bacilli; Caryophanales; Staphylococcaceae. The record is from RNAcentral.
CACACUGCCGAGAAAAGCCUCUAGAUAGAAAAUAGGUGCCCGUACCGCAAACCGACACAGGUAGUCAAGAUGAGAAUUCUAAGGUGAGCGAGCGAACUCUCGUUAAGGAACUCGGCAAAAUGACCCCGUAACUUCGGGAGAAGGGGUGCUCUUUAGGGUUAACGCCCAGAAGAGCCGCAGUGAAUAGGCCCAAGCGACUGUUUAUCAAAAACACAGGUCUCUGCUAAACCGUAAGGUGAUGUAUAGGGGCUGACGCCUGCCCGGUGCUGGAAGGUUAAGAGGAGUGGUUAGCUUCUGCGAAGCUACGAAUCGAAGCCCCAGUAAACGGCGGCCGUAACUAUAACGGUCCUAAGGUAGCGAAAUUCCUUGUCGGGUAAGUUCCGACCCGCACGAAAGGCGUAACGAUUUGGGCACUGUCUCAACGAGAGACUCGGUGAAAUCAUAGUACCUGUGAAGAUGCAGGUUACCCGCGACAGGACGGAAAGACCCCGUGGAGCUUUACUGUAGCCUGAUAUUGAAAUUCGGCACAGCUUGUACAGGAUAGGUAGGAGCCUUUGAAACGUGAGCGCUAGCUUACGUGGAGGCGCUGGUGGGAUACUACCCUAGCUGUGUUGGCUUUCUAACCCGCACCACUUAUCGUGGUGGGAGACAGUGUCAGGCGGGCAGUUUGACUGGGGCGGUCGCCUCCUAAAAGGUAACGGAGGCGCUCAAAGGUUCCCUCAGAAUGGUUGGAAAUCAUUCAUAGAGUGUAAAGGCAUAAGGGAGCUUGACUGCGAGACCUACAAGUCGAGCAGGGUCGAAAGACGGACUUAGUGAUCCGGUGGUUCCGCAUGGAAGGGCCAUCGCUCAACGGAUAAAAGCUACCCCGGGGAUAACAGGCUUAUCUCCCCCAAGAGUUCACAUCGACGGGGAGGUUUGGCACCUCGAUGUCGGCUCAUCGCAUCCUGGGGCUGUAGUCGGUCCCAAGGGUUGGGCUGUUCGCCCAUUAAAGCGGUACGCGAGCUGGGUUCAGAACGUCGUGAGACAGUUCGGUCCCUAUCCGUCGUGGGCGUAGGAAAUUUGAGAGGAGCUGUCCUUAGUACGAGAGGACCGGGAUGGACAUACCUCUGGUGUACCAGUUGUCGUGCCAACGGCAUAGCUGGGUAGCUAUGUGUGGACGGGAUAAGUGCUGAAAGCAUCUAAGCAUGAAGCCCCCCUCAAGAUGAGAUUUCCCAACUUCGGU